RNAcentral lists this long non-coding RNA (527 nucleotides) under Mytilus galloprovincialis (Mediterranean mussel). The record is from RNAcentral. Lineage: Eukaryota; Metazoa; Mollusca; Bivalvia; Mytilida; Mytilidae.
AGAUUCAUCUGAAAAUUUCAGGGCAGAUAGAUCUUGACCUGAUAAACAAUUUUACCCCAUGUCAGAUUUGCUCUAAAGGCUGCGGUUUCAGAGUUAUAAGCCAAAAUCUACAUUUCACCCUUAUGUUCUAUUUUUAGCCAUGGCGGCCAUCUUGGUUGGUUGGCCAGGUCACGGGACACAAUUUUUAAACUAAAUACCCCAAUGAUGAUUGUGGCCAAGUUUGGUUUAAUUUGGCCCAGUAGUUUCAGAGGAGAAGAUUUUUUGUAAAAGAUAACUAAGAUUUAUGAAAAAUGGUUAAAAAUUGACUAUAAAGGGCAAUAACUCCUAAAGAAAUCAACAGACCAUUUUGGUCUUGUUGACUUAUUUGUAGAUCUUACUUUGCUGAACAUUUUUGCUGUUUACAGUUUAUCUCUAUCAAUAAUAAAAUUCAAGAUAAUAACCAAAAACAGCAAAAUGUCCUUAAAAUUACCAAUUCAGGGGCAGCAACCUAUCAACGGGUUGUCCAAUUCAUCUCAAAAUUUCAGGGC